UACGUAGGUGGCAAGCGUUGUCCGGAAUUAUUGGGCGUAAAGCGCGCGCAGGCGGCUUCUUAAGUCUGAUGUGAAAUCUCGGGGCUCAACCCCGAGCGGCCAUUGGAAACUGGGAAGCUUGAGUACAGAAGAGGAGAGUGGAAUUCCACGUGUAGCGGUGAAAUGCGUAGAUAUGUGGAGGAACACCAGUGGCGAAGGCGACUCUCUGGUCGUAACUGAACGCUGAGGCGCGAAAGCGUGGGGAGCAAACAGG
This 253-nucleotide ribosomal RNA is filed under the name uncultured bacterium. Its description in RNAcentral is "partial 16S ribosomal RNA". It matches the Rfam family "Bacterial small subunit ribosomal RNA", at positions 524 to 776 of the family's 1533-position model. The record is from RNAcentral.